AAGGAGGAAACUGAAAAUCCAGAAAAGAGUAAGUA
This is a regulatory RNA element of Chryseobacterium sp. Leaf394, 35 nucleotides long. It matches the Rfam family "DUF805b RNA". From Rfam's summary of the family: Bacteroidetes, Chlorobi (1 example), Proteobacteria. Lineage (Flavobacteria) The record is from Rfam. NCBI's taxonomy places the organism in Bacteria, Pseudomonadati, Bacteroidota, Flavobacteriia, Flavobacteriales, Weeksellaceae.